AACGAACGCUGGCGGCAUGCCUAACACAUGCAAGUCGAACGAGACCUUCGGGUCUAGUGGCGCACGGGUGCGUAACGCGUGGGAAUCUGCCCUUGGGUUCGGAAUAACAGUUAGAAAUGACUGCUAAUACCGGAUAAUGUCUUCGGACCAAAGAUUUAUCGCCCAGGGAUGAGCCCGCGUAGGAUUAGCUAGUUGGUGAGGUAAAGGCUCACCAAGGCGACGAUCCUUAGCUGGUCUGAGAGGAUGAUCAGCCACACUGGGACUGAGACACGGCCCAGACUCCUACGGGAGGCAGCAGUGGGGAAUAUUGGACAAUGGGCGAAAGCCUGAUCCAGCAAUGCCGCGUGAGUGAUGAAGGCCUUAGGGUUGUAAAGCUCUUUUACCCGGAUGAUAAUGACAGUACCGGGAGAAUAAGCUCCGGCUAACUCCGUGCCAGCAGCCGCGGUAAU
This 449-nucleotide ribosomal RNA is filed under the name uncultured bacterium. Its description in RNAcentral is "bacterial SSU rRNA". It matches the Rfam family "Bacterial small subunit ribosomal RNA", at positions 29 to 524 of the family's 1533-position model. The record is from RNAcentral.